Long non-coding RNA from Alnus glutinosa, 559 nucleotides. RefSeq lists it as uncharacterized. NCBI's taxonomy places the organism in Eukaryota, Viridiplantae, Streptophyta, Magnoliopsida, Fagales, Betulaceae. The record is from RefSeq and is a predicted model, not a curated record. The transcript is spliced from 3 exons.
GCGAAGACCCGUGAGACCCGUAACCCAGAACCCCUCAGACCCGUGACCUGCUGAACCUGAGAGGAAAUCCGGUUCCCCAAGUGCGAUGUCCGGCGGUCCAGUGUGUGUUUUCCUGCGAUUCACCCCUGUGACCGAUCUCCCUGUUUUUGAUGGAUUUUUGUGAAAAUCCCCAAAGGAUCAUGUUCGGAUUGGAGACUUUAAUUGGUUCUCCAAUGUAGAGUCCAAGUGACUAGAGUCCAAGGAGUGUUCGAGUUGGAGUCUAAUGCAGCCAAGAUGAUGUUUCUUUGGCUGCAGGUACUUCGGUAUAGUCGAUGGGUCGGUAGCAGUGUGCUUGGGAUAUUAUGACUGAAGCUCACCGCGACGGUUGUAAUUGUCGGACCACGGGUUGUCCACUAUUUUAUAGGUUUGGUAUGGCUUGUGACGUUUGUGUCACUUAUUCUUUGUUAAGCCAUUAUUGUUAUAGUGUUAAUAAGACUCAAACAGAUAGAUGUUAAAUGGCUCUUUGUUGUAAUUAAUUUGUGAUAGAUGUAUAAGUUGUAAUUUCCGCUAUUCAGAUUUA